GACGAACGCUGGCGGCGUGCCUAAUACAUGCAAGUCGAACGCUUCUUUCCUCCCGAGUGCUUGCACUCAAUUGGAAAGAGGCGUGGCGGACGGGUGAGUAACACGUGGGUAACCUACCCAUCAGAGGGGGAUAACACUUGGAAACAGGUGCUAAUACCGCAUAACAGUUUAUGCCGCAUGGCAUAAGAGUGAAAGGCGCUUUCGGGUGUCGCUGAUGGAUGGACCCGCGGUGCAUUAGCUAGUUGGUGAGGUAACGGCUCACCAAGGCCACGAUGCAUAGCCGACCUGAGAGGGUGAUCGGCCACACUGGGACUGAGACACGGCCCAGACUCCUACGGGAGGCAGCAGUAGGGAAUCUUCGGCAAUGGACGAAAGUCUGACCGGGCAACGCCGCGUGAGUGAAGAAGGUUUUCGGAUCGUAAAACUCUGUUGUUAGAGAAGAACAAGGACGUUAGUAACUGAACGUCCCCUGACGGUAUCUAACCAGAAAGCCACGGCUAACUACGUG
This 508-nucleotide ribosomal RNA is filed under the name uncultured bacterium. Its description in RNAcentral is "partial 16S ribosomal RNA". It matches the Rfam family "Bacterial small subunit ribosomal RNA", at positions 28 to 507 of the family's 1533-position model. The record is from RNAcentral.